RNAcentral lists this ribosomal RNA (444 nucleotides) under uncultured Anaerolineaceae bacterium. Its description in RNAcentral is "bacterial SSU rRNA". It matches the Rfam family "Bacterial small subunit ribosomal RNA", at positions 337 to 797 of the family's 1533-position model. The record is from RNAcentral. Lineage: Bacteria; Bacillati; Chloroflexota; Anaerolineae; Anaerolineales; Anaerolineaceae.
UCCUACGGGUGGCUGCAGUAGGGAAUAUUGGUUAAUGGGCGAAAGCCUGACCCAGCAACGCCGCGUGCGCGAUGAAGGCCUUCGGGUUGUAAAGCGCUUUUAAGUGGGAUGAGGAAGGACAGUACCACUAGAAUAAGUCUCGGCUAACUACGUGCCAGCAGCCGCGGUCACACGUAGGAGACGAGCGUUAUCCGGAUUUACUGGGUGUAAAGCGCGUGCAGGCGGUAUGGAAAGUUGGAUGUGAAAGCUCCCGGCUUAACUGGGAGAGGUCGUUCAAAACUACCAAACUAGAGUACAGCAGAGGGGAGUGGAAUUCCGAGUGUAGCGGUAAAAUGCAUAGAUAUUCGGAAGAACACCAGUGGCGAAGGCGGCUCCCUGGGCUGAAACUGACGCUCAGACGCGAAAGCUAGGGUAGCGAACGGGAUUAGAUACCCCAGUAGUCUA